GUCGAACGGUAGCAGGGUGUGCUUGCACAUCGCUGACGAGUGGCGGACGGGUGAGUAAUGCUUGGGAACUUGCCUUUGCGAGGGGGAUAACAGUUGGAAACGGCUGCUAAUACCGCAUAAUGUCUUCGGACCAAACGGGGCUUAGGCUCCGGCGCAGAGAGAGGCCCAAGUGAGAUUAGCUAGUUGGUGGGGUAAAGGCUCACCAAGGCAACGAUCUCUAGCUGUUCUGAGAGGAAGAUCAGCCACACUGGGACUGAGACACGGCCCAGACUCCUACGGGAGGCAGCAGUGGGGAAUAUUGCACAAUGGGGGAAACCCUGAUCUAGCCAUGCCGCGUGUGUAAUGAAGGCCCUAGGGUCGUAAAGCACUUUCGCCAGAGAUGAUAAUGACAGUAUCUGGUAAAGAAACCCCGGCUAACUCCGUGCCAGCAGCCGCGGUAAUACGGAGGGGGUUAGCGUUGUUCGGAAUUACUGGGCGUAAAGCGCACGUAGGUGGAUUAGUAAGUUAGAGGUGAAAUCCCAGGGCUCAACCCUGGAACUGCCUUUAAUACUGCUAGUCUUGAGUUCGAGAGAGGUAAGUGGAAUUCCGAGUGUAGAGGUGAAAUUCGUAGAUAUUCGGAGGAACACCAGUGGCGAAAGCGGCUUACUGGC
This 650-nucleotide ribosomal RNA is filed under the name uncultured bacterium. RNAcentral's name for it is "bacterial SSU rRNA". It matches the Rfam family "Bacterial small subunit ribosomal RNA", at positions 61 to 733 of the family's 1533-position model. The record is from RNAcentral.